UACGAAGGGGGCUAGCGUUGCUCGGAAUUACUGGGCGUAAAGGGCGCGUAGGCGGAUAUCUAAGUUGGGGGUGAAAUCCCGGGGCUCAACCUCGGAAUUGCCUUCAAAACUGGGUAUCUUGAGUUCGGGAGAGGUGAGUGGAACUCCGAGUGUAGAGGUGAAAUUCGUAGAUAUUCGGAAGAACACCAGUGGCGAAGGCGACUCACUGGCCCGAUACUGACGCUGAGGCACGAAAGCGUGGGGAGCAAACAGG
RNAcentral lists this ribosomal RNA (253 nucleotides) under uncultured bacterium. Its description in RNAcentral is "partial 16S ribosomal RNA". It matches the Rfam family "Bacterial small subunit ribosomal RNA", at positions 524 to 776 of the family's 1533-position model. The record is from RNAcentral.